Molecule: long non-coding RNA, 2881 nt
Organism: Brassica napus (rape)
Lineage: Eukaryota; Viridiplantae; Streptophyta; Magnoliopsida; Brassicales; Brassicaceae
Exons: 2
Source: RefSeq, a predicted model, not a curated record
GACAAGAUUGAUAUGCACCCAAUAAGUCGAUCAUAACUCUUUUUUUUUCUUUUGAUAAUCCAGGUAAUCCGGACACCCCGGAGGGAACCCGACUAGCGCCUAAGUACACCUCCGCAGAAGGCAUCCUGGAGGGCCGCCUUUUUCACCCCAUUUUAAUCGACGGUGGCCAGCGGGAUUCGAACCCGGGUCCGUAUUGGGGCCAAAGCUCCCUCAAGACCACUGGACCGUCCUCGCUUGGUUUGAUCGAUCAUAACUCUUUCAAUACAUAUCCAAAUGAUUUGAAACCAAUUUGAUUAGAAAUCUAACUCAAUUUUUUAUGUCAUGUCAAAAUGAACUUCAAAAUAUAUCGUUAAUUUUUUCAUCCAUGUUGAUAUUUUGUGGCUUAAUCCGCUCCAAAACCUAAAACACACACAUAUCACAUGCAAAUGAAAUAUAUACUCCUAAUUUUAAUAUAAAAGAAAAUAAGUGUGAUGAAAAUGAUGUAAAAAUGCAAGACAUUAACUGAAGGACUAGUAUUGAGAAACACACAAAAACAAAAUCAUCAUUUUAGUUGAAAAGAGAACCAAUUGUUUUAGCUGAAAAGAGAGGCGAAUUACCCAAAUACAAACCAUGAUCAAGUUUUUCAGGAGGAAUGAGGUAAUGUGCCUAGAAGGAGAGACUUGCUGAGACGUUUCAGGUAUUUACAGAUUCUGAGAGACCGAUAAAUCUAGACUCAUCAUAAUCAAUUAAAAAUACAAUGUUGGCUUCAAGAUAAUGGUAAGAGCAAGCGUUUAGACAGAAAGGUUCACUCUUUGAUAUGAAUAUGUUGAAAUCUCCAAUGUCAUUUGUGUAAAAAAAACAUUUGUGUAAAAAAAACAUUUCCUUCUUGGUCUAACCUGAACACAGCUAAACCUUUUGUUUUCACAUCCCUUGUAUCAUCAUCUACCACUUACCCAGGAAUGUUAUGCCAGCUGAUGACUCUAACAAGAGUUUGAUGUUGUAAGAUGAACCAAUAAGGUCAGCUACCAUUUUGUGAAGGUUUUGAAAAGUCAACUUCUGAGACUUUAGGGUUGUGCUUGUGCUUAUCAAAAUCCCAAGAUCAUGUGUGGUGGCUUCCAGAAGCGAGCAAGGUGAACAUCUGAUCUCUAAUGGAAAAGAAACUAAUGAUUACGAUUAAAAUUUUAUAAUUUAAAAAAAAUGUAGAAAAUUUUAGUAAUAAAAUUAUAUAAUUAUAAAAAAUAGAAUUAAAUAAUAUUUCAAAAUUUGUAAUGUUAUAUUUGAAUAUAUUUGUUUUGAUGAUGAUGUAUGAGUUAUUACCAUAUUCUAAAAAGUUUACCAAAAAUAUAAAUUAACAUUAAAUGUAAUUGUUAAUGUCAUGUUUAGCCAUAAGUCAUAUCAUCAAUUUUAGUAGUCAUGUCACAUUUUCAAAUAAUGUAGAGAUGAUGUGUGGCAAAUUACUUCUCAAAUAAUGUCUACGAGAUAUAUAAAAUUAUUUUGAUGAGCCAGAUUCAAACAUAUUGAUUGUAACCAUCUGUUUUAUUUUUUACAUGUAUAACGGUGCAUUUCAUAAUAUGACUCGAUCGACUUUGGAUAUCAUCGCAGUUAAUAAAUUUGAUGGUAAGUAUUUUUUAAAGUUUUUUUUUCCUUUAUUGAGCUGAUAUUUCUUUUAUCUACUAGGUAAGAUCAGUCGUAUGCUAAGAUAACUCAGUCAAUUUUACUGAUAAAGCGUAAAUUUAUAAUACCAUUAUUGGAGAAUUUAUUUUUGAGUCAAUUGGCUAUUAAUACAAAAAGAACUUGGAUAUUAACAAUCUACCUGAACAGUAAAACUUUGGUCCAAACAGCAUUGGAAAAGAAGUUAAAUUGACUAUUUUAGCCCCAAGAGUUAUACUGGUUUCAAAUAUUGAUUAGUGAUAGGUAUUAGGUAAUGUCAGUAGAAAAUAUUGUGUAGAUUUGUUUAGUUAUUAUUAGAUAUGUUAGAUUUUAAAGAUCUUUAAAAUUAAAAAAAGAAUCCAUUUCUCCUCUUUUGUUGUCGUCGUCUUCUUUCUCCAUCUUUCAUCUUCUAUUUUUUUUUCCUAUGAAUCUAAACAAAAUCAAACAAAAUCUAGUCCACCAGCUUGAUUUUGAACAAACAUACUCGAACAAGAUGAUUUGGAGUUCUCUCCUAAGUUCGGAGAUUGCUCUGGUCAUUCCUUCGAUCCAACGAUGAAGACAAUCUGUUUAGAGUAAGUGAUGAAAGAAAUAUUCGGGGAACAAGACAAGCUAGUGCUCCACCUUGUUGUGCUUGAGAUGGGAUUUGGGGAUAGAACUACAUCCUCUGGCAGGCAGUGGUGGUGUGCCGGGAAUUGAGAUAAUACAACUUUAUAAGGACGAUGAGAUGGUGGAAGUUGGCACAGAGGGAGCACAAAAUGGUUCAACCUUGGAAGCAAUUAACGGUGCCGGUGUCUAGCAAUAAAGACCAUGGCCUUCCUCUGGAUGUGAUCGCGGCAGGUGACGCACCAUGAUUAAAACGUGCAGGUCUGCCUUGUGGUGGUGGUGGCCCAACCAUGGAGAACAUAAACUCGGGGUAGAUGCAGAAAACUGGUCCAUCGUCGUUGAAGCUAACUUUGGCAUGAAGAGAAGUGGAGAAAACGUAGUGAAGUCAAAGGUUGGGGAAAUAUCAGCGGAAGGCAGCAACACCCAGGGGUGGGUGUUGAUUGGAGUCACCAUUAGUGCUUGGGAUCUAUUUUCUAAAUGUCUACGAGUUGUUGAAAAAUGGUUAACAUAAAAUUUCUCCAGGGGUUAGUAAGUUUUUAGAUGGUUAAACUUUUUUAUAACCAUUUGUAGAAAAUAUUAGCGGUAUGUAGGUAAGUUAGCUCGUUUUAAUGAUAUGAAGUUCUAAUGACAGUUUUGGAUGGAUAAACUA